CAGCCGCCGCGGGAAUACGGAGGGGGCUAGCGUUGUUCGGAAUUACUGGGCGUAAAGCGCACGUAGGCGGCUUGGUAAGUUAGAGGUGAAAGCCUGGAGCUCAACUCCAGAAUUGCCUUUAAGACUGCCGAGCUAGCAGGUGAGAGAGGUAAGUGGAAUUCCGAGUGUAGAGGUGAAAUUCGUAGAUAUUCGGAAGAACACCAGUGGCGAAGGCGGCUUACUGGCUCAUACUGGACGCUGAGGUGCGAAAGCGUGGGGAGCAAACAGGAUUAGAUACCCCUGUAGUCCCUGUCUCUUAUAU
This 301-nucleotide ribosomal RNA is filed under the name uncultured bacterium. Its description in RNAcentral is "partial 16S ribosomal RNA". It matches the Rfam family "Bacterial small subunit ribosomal RNA", at positions 509 to 809 of the family's 1533-position model. The record is from RNAcentral.